AAGUUGUACAGUUGUAAGUUCAUAAAUAAUAAUGAAGCUUCUGUUGGCAACAUAAGUUAUGUUUAAACCGUAGCAUUUAAACUCAGCUUUUUACUGAACAAGUGCUUAAAAAGAGGAAAGACAAAGUGGAGAGAGUACAACCUCAGAUAAAACUGCUGUUAUCAGCUGUUUGGGGAAUGGUAGUUUCCUACAAUUGAAAUGAAAGCAAACAGGUGGUUCAAGUCAUGUGCUAUCUAUAAUACCACUUCUAAACAAAUCAGUGUGGGGAAGCUUCUGAAUCCCCUCUGAAUCUUGCAAUAGCUGGAAAAACAGAGACCAAAGCAUGCUUGUAAUUAAAACAAGCUCCAGAGAAAAGUCAACAGACAUUCCUAUUUGCCUUUGCAUUUGAUCCUAAAGACUUUAACCUGGCAUAGAUAUGUUAAUUCAUACUUUUUAGGGUACAAACGUCACACAAAUGUCAGAGUGGUUUGAUGAAAAUGUAAUGGUGCUUCUGACUCUCUGAACAGAAGACAAGGCCAGGCAUGACCUGAUGUUCUGUAAGCUGGUGUUGCUGGGAGAAGAGAAUGUGUGUCACAAAUACCACCUAGUCUCUGAGGUCUUCCACAACCUACAAGGGCAAUCCAUUGACAGGCUUGUUCCCUAAUGUUGAAAUACUGGUGGGAAAACGCUGGUAGUGCAAGAUUGAGGCUGGCAAUGCUUUAACUCUUUAACUGUGCCUCAUUCAACUCUUGUUAAGUUUGAAAUGGAGUUUCCACCUGUUCCAGAUGAUACUGAAAACCUCCAAAAUGAGUUUUGCUAGUUCAAAAGCUUAAUGCUAUCUCCUCUGCCCAAGAGCACACUGAGAGAAGUGUAGCAGCCCUGAGACUGUUGGUACAUCUAAAAAAUCUGACAUUUGGCCCUGCAGCUUCAGUGAAGUAUCACAUAGAUUCACUGCAGCCACAGCAAUGCCUAUUGUGCACAAUGUUUGAAGAGGACUUCCCCAGGCAAGCUGAUGCUGAUGAAGACUGUCUGCACACUAACGUUUUGGAGUGAAGUAUGGAGAAUUAUGGAGAGUCAUGAGAGAGUUCUCCAAGGCCUUCUGUCCUUCAAGGGCUUUGACAUAAAAGGCUCCAACUUAUUAGAGGGGCUGCAGAAGAUCUAGGUGAGCAGGACUUCAGUAUAUCCCGAGGUUAAAAUACUGUCUGAAAUAGCCUCCUGAAAAAGUCCUCCUCCUCCCCUUCUUUUUACUCUGUAGAGGAGAGAGCUGCACCACAUGAUUUUCACAGGUACAAUUUAUUUACAUGCAAAAUUCACGUCCUGCUUAUCCGUACAGCCAGCUGACAGAUGCUUGUUAGCAGGUGAAAAGACGGCUACUUGUUAAAGUGCAGCUGCCUCGAUAUUUUUUUGCCAGCUGCAUAUCAGGCACCACCUGGCAGGAAUUUAUUCAUUAGAUAUUACUUUAAAAAACAGCAACGUNUAGUCAUAAUUUCUCUAUAUUUAAAGGGAUCAGGUGUGAUACCACUAAAGUCACUGGUAGGAAUAAAUUCGUAGGAAAAGCUGAAUUAGUUUCCAUAAGGAAUAAGAG
Molecule: long non-coding RNA, 1564 nt
Filed under: Pavo cristatus (Indian peafowl)
Lineage: Eukaryota; Metazoa; Chordata; Aves; Galliformes; Phasianidae
Description: lncRNA (ENSPSTG00000006006.1)
Source: RNAcentral